AGAGUUUGAUCCUGGCUCAGGAUGAACGCUAGCGGCAGGCUUAAUACAUGCAAGUCGAGGGGCAGCACAGGGUAGCAAUACCUGGGUGGCGACCGGCAAACGGGUGCGGAACACGUACAGAACCUACCUUCGAGCGGGGGAUAGCCCAGAGAAAUUUGGAUUAAUACCCCAUAGUAUAUUUGGAUGGCAUCAUUUGAAUAUUAAAGAUUUAUCACUUGAAGAUGGCUGUGCGUAUGAUUAGGUAGUUGGCGGGGUAACGGCCCACCAAGCCUACGAUCAUUAACUGGUGUGAGAGCACGACCAGUCACACGGGCACUGAGACACGGGCCCGACUCCUACGGGAGGCAGCAGUAAGGAAUAUUGGUCAAUGGACGCAAGUCUGAACCAGCCAUGCCGCGUGGAGGAUGAAGGUCCUCUGGAUUGUAAACUUCUUUUAUCUGGGACGAAAAAAGGGAAUUCUUUCUCGUCUGACGGUACCAGAUGAAUAAGCACCGGCUAACUCCGUGCCAGCAGCCGCGGUAAUACGGAGGGUGCAAGCGUUAUCCGGAUUCACUGGGUUUAAAGGGUGCGUAGGCGGGUAUGUAAGUCCGUGGUGGAAUCUCCGAGCUUAACUCGGAAACUGCCAUGGGUACUGCGUAUCUUGAAUGUUGUGGAGGUGAGCGGAAUAUGUCAUGUAGCGGUGAAAUGCUUAGAUAUGACAUAGAACACCAAUUGCGAAGGCAGCUCACUACACAAAUAUUGACGCUGAGGCACGAAAGCGUGGGGAUCAAACAGGAUUAGAUACCCUGGUAGUCG
RNAcentral lists this ribosomal RNA (795 nucleotides) under uncultured bacterium. RNAcentral describes it as "bacterial SSU rRNA". It matches the Rfam family "Bacterial small subunit ribosomal RNA", at positions 8 to 796 of the family's 1533-position model. The record is from RNAcentral.